This 141-nucleotide unclassified non-coding RNA is filed under the name Caenorhabditis briggsae. Its description in RNAcentral is "Cb104.1 H/ACA snoRNA". Lineage: Eukaryota; Metazoa; Nematoda; Chromadorea; Rhabditida; Rhabditidae. The record is from RNAcentral.
GACGAACUUGAAAACCUGGGCACUCUGGCUGAAAUUUUAAACCACAGUGCUCUAAAAGAGUCAUUCUAAUAGAGAUUCGGCCUUUCUAAGGCGGAUUCGUGUCAAUUUUUUGCGUUUCCGUCGGAUACGAGGCCUACAUUU